RNAcentral lists this ribosomal RNA (310 nucleotides) under uncultured eukaryote. RNAcentral's name for it is "partial 18S ribosomal RNA". It matches the Rfam family "Eukaryotic small subunit ribosomal RNA", at positions 1470 to 1796 of the family's 1831-position model. The record is from RNAcentral.
CCCUUAGAUGUUCUGGGCGGCUCGCGCACUACAAUGGCGCUUUCAGCGAGUUCCUAUGUUGAAUUUUCCUUGGUAUUCUUGGAAGCGGCGUCUUGACUUGGGAUAGAUCCUUGUAAUUGUUGGUUUUGAACGAGGAAUUCCUUGUAAUCGCGGUUGAUCAGCUCGCGUUGAAUACGUCCCUGCCCUUUGUACACACCGCCCGUCGCUCCUACCGAUGAAUCGUCCGGUGAAGUUCACAGAGUGGCGGUUCGUGGAGUUGCUCGCGAAGUGAAAUGGACCUCACGAUUUAGAGGAAGGAGAAGUCGUAACA